GAAGGGCUUCCAACGGCCAAUUGGAAGGGAGAAUCGAAACGGAAACAGUUAUCCGAAACACAACUUGUUUACUUGUUUCCACCUAAUAAAAAGUGGUUAAAACCUGGCCAAAAACGAAAACAGCUGCCGUCAUCGAUAGCAUAAAGCAACAAAUAAGAUAAAACGAAAACAACAAAUUGCAUUAAAAUAAGCAUUUGCAAUCACGGGAUGAUUCAACGUUUUUUUGCCACACAAGACACAGAUCUUGAAUGGGAAUCUUAUUUUGGCGUCCGCUCAUUCCAAGGGAUUAAAUCUCACCUGCGAUUGUUCUCCGGCGGCAGAACACUCCAG
Long non-coding RNA from Drosophila suzukii, 330 nucleotides. RefSeq lists it as uncharacterized. Lineage: Eukaryota; Metazoa; Arthropoda; Insecta; Diptera; Drosophilidae. The record is from RefSeq and is a predicted model, not a curated record.